CAGUAUUGCUGAGGGCACCUCGUUCAUUUAUGCGACAAUAUGGAGCUCAGCUGGUUCGCACUCACUUUACUGCUGACUGUCUAUAAAUCCAAUGGAGAAAUCCGCCAAGAGCCUGAAAUCUUUGCCAACAGCAGUUCAAAUGUGACAUUGACAUGUCAACAUGAUAAUUCUGACCACUACAGAUUGUUCUGGUACAAGCAAACAAAGGGGAGUGUGGGAUUGUCUUUAUUGAUAUUUUCUAUUGGCCAAAAUCAGGUAGAGAUUGAAGCGCCAUUUAAAACUCAAGAAUCUAAGUAUGAAGCAACCCGUCCUGUAAUAAAGAUGUCCACGCUGCAGAUUAACAAACUAGAGACUGAAGACUCGGCUCUCUAUUAUUGUGCCACGAGCACACAGUAUUAUAUUACAGCUGCACUGCUAAACAACAACCACAACGUUAAAACUGCACUGUGCUUUCAUCUCUCAUUUAUGAUGUCAUUUCCUGUUCCUUUGAUCAUAGACACAUUAAAUAGGAUAGUCAAAAUACACCUAGAAGGGGAAAGGUACACUAGAAGUGGAUUCUCCUCUUUAAUGUCAUGGGACUUUUGUGUUCGGGGUUUAUUUUGCUGCUAGCUAUUAAGUCAUUAGGAGGAAUAACCAUCACUCAGAAUGAUCAAGUUAGUAAAACUCAAGUGAUUACUCAACGGGAUAAACAGGUUACUUUAAAAUGCAACCAUGAUGAUGGCACCUAUUAUUAUAUGUUCUGGUACAGACAGAGAAGUCAAGGUGAACUGUCCCUCGUUGCUAUUUCUGUUGGAAAAGACAAUAAAGAAACAGUUUCCCCAUUCACAGAAACAAAAUAUAUAAUGCAACGUCCUGACAUUAAAGAAUCUUCGCUGGAGAUCAAGAAUGUAGUAGGGGAGGACUCAGGUAUUUAUUUCUGCGCUUCAAGCAUUACACAGUACCUUAACUUAGCCAGAUAGCUGAGCAAUAACCUCAACCUGAGCCACAAUGAUCAGAGAGAAAAUACAUGAGAAUCAAGCUGGUUGUGGGAUAUACUAUCUUUGAUCCUAUACAUGUAUAUUAUGUAGUUACUACAUACAUA
Molecule: long non-coding RNA, 1081 nt
Organism: Carassius carassius (crucian carp)
Lineage: Eukaryota; Metazoa; Chordata; Actinopteri; Cypriniformes; Cyprinidae
Exons: 3
Source: RefSeq, a predicted model, not a curated record